This 980-nucleotide ribosomal RNA is filed under the name Salmonella enterica subsp. enterica serovar Paratyphi B var. L(+) tartrate +. RNAcentral's name for it is "bacterial SSU rRNA". It matches the Rfam family "Bacterial small subunit ribosomal RNA", at positions 1 to 970 of the family's 1533-position model. Lineage: Bacteria; Pseudomonadati; Pseudomonadota; Gammaproteobacteria; Enterobacterales; Enterobacteriaceae. The record is from RNAcentral.
AAAUUGAAGAGUUUGAUCAUGGCUCAGAUUGAACGCUGGCGGCAGGCCUAACACAUGCAAGUCGAACGGUAACAGGAAGCAGCUUGCUGCUUCGCUGACGAGUGGCGGACGGGUGAGUAAUGUCUGGGAAACUGCCUGAUGGAGGGGGAUAACUACUGGAAACGGUGGCUAAUACCGCAUAACGUCGCAAGACCAAAGAGGGGGACCUUCUGGCCUCUUGCCAUCAGAUGUGCCCAGAUGGGAUUAGCUAGUUGGUGAGGUAACGGCUCACCAAGGCGACGAUCCCUAGCUGGUCUGAGAGGAUGACCAGCCACACUGGAACUGAGACACGGUCCAGACUCCUACGGGAGGCAGCAGUGGGGAAUAUUGCACAAUGGGCGCAAGCCUGAUGCAGCCAUGCCGCGUGUAUGAAGAAGGCCUUCGGGUUGUAAAGUACUUUCAGCGGGGAGGAAGGUGUUGUGGUUAAUAACCACAGCAAUUGACGUUACCCGCAGAAGAAGCACCGGCUAACUCCGUGCCAGCAGCCGCGGUAAUACGGAGGGUGCAAGCGUUAAUCGGAAUUACUGGGCGUAAAGCGCACGCAGGCGGUCUGUCAAGUCGGAUGUGAAAUCCCCGGGCUCAACCUGGGAACUGCAUUCGAAACUGGCAGGCUUGAGUCUUGUAGAGGGGGGUAGAAUUCCAGGUGUAGCGGUGAAAUGCGUAGAGAUCUGGAGGAAUACCGGUGGCGAAGGCGGCCCCCUGGACAAAGACUGACGCUCAGGUGCGAAAGCGUGGGGAGCAAACAGGAUUAGAUACCCUGGUAGUCCACGCCGUAAACGAUGUCUACUUGGAGGUUGUGCCCUUGAGGCGUGGCUUCCGGAGCUAACGCGUUAAGUAGACCGCCUGGGGAGUACGGCCGCAAGGUUAAAACUCAAAUGAAUUGACGGGGGCCCGCACAAGCGGUGGAGCAUGUGGUUUAAUUCGAUGCAACGCGAAGAACC